Molecule: ribosomal RNA, 488 nt
Filed under: uncultured bacterium
Lineage: Bacteria
Description: bacterial SSU rRNA
Rfam family: Bacterial small subunit ribosomal RNA
Source: RNAcentral
GAUGAACGCUAGCUACAGGCUUAACACAUGCAAGUCGAGGGGCAGCGAGGGCGUAGCAAUACGCCUGUCGGCGACCGGCGCACUGGUGAGUAACACGUAUGCGACCUGCCCCCUACAGGGGUAUAACCCGUAGAAAUGCGGACUAAUCCCCCAUAGUCCUGUAGGCUGCAUGGCCUGCGGGGGGAAAGGGUUUCCGGUAGGGGAUGGGCAUGCGGCGCAUUAGCUAGUUGGCGGGGCAACGGCCCACCAAGGCGACGAUGCGUAGGGGUUCGUGAGAGGAAGGUCCCCCACACUGGUACUGAGACACGGACCAGACUCCUACGGGAGGCAGCAGUGAGGAAUAUUGGUCAAUGGGCGCAGGCCUGAACCAGCCAAGUCGCGUGAGGGAGGACGGUCCUACGGAUUGUAAACCUCUUUUGUCGGGGAGUAACGUGCGGGACGCGUCCCGUAUUGAGAGUACCCGAAGAAAAGCAUCGGCUAACUCCGUG